UAUAACAAUAGAUCGAUACUUGGCGUCUGUGUAUCGAUACAGUAUUGCCACAGAAAAUAUCGCGAUACUAUGCUGUAUCGACUUUUUCCCCCACCCCUAUUCGACAUCAUUUUGGACCCAUAGAAUCACCUGCUAGAGCAGAUAAUAAAUAAAUAACACUCAAAAAGCUUCAAGACAAAGCUCGCUAAAGAAGUCCAACCAGUCAUUAGAUCUGAGAAAAGUCUUUUAGUUAGUUUGAUGCUUUUUUUUUCAAUGUUUUUGGCGCUUUUUUUUGCCGCAUUUCACAUUCACUCGGCUUAAAAAAAAACGGCUCAGGUGCUGCAGCUAAGACUUAAUAAUAAUGGUAGGGAAAACCCUGAGUGUGGGUGAUCUCAUUUGUAUAAUCUGUACAAAAAAAAUGAUGUUAUGGCAUGGUUAUGUGCCAGACUAUUUCUUCGCGGGGUGCAAAAGACUUCCUCGUAAGUCUCGUAAGCAUAUUUCCCAAACUGUCAAAAUGAUUCCAGUAACAACAAAAACACUUAACCAGCACAGCACAGUACACCAGCUUUCAGUUAUGAACCUAAAUAUUGAUUCAUACGAACGUGUUUGUGUGUAUAUGUCUAUUAAUCGUCUGCAGUAUUGACAUUGAGCAGUAUUUCUUUUAAAACGAACCAGAGGUGAGACUUUGAUUUUUUGUUUCCUUUUUUUCUCUGUAAUUUGGUCCAAUAUUUUUUGCAUAGACUUUCAUUGUGUGAUAUAAAAAUGUACAACGCCAAAAAAAAGGUAUAUAAAAGGAAAUAAAGUUUGCCCAGCAGCUGGUCCAGGUGAUAAGCGUCGCCGUGUCAACAAGACAUCCCUUGCUCGGAUGAAUGACCUCUUAAAAAGGACCAAAAAAAAACCCAUACUGCAUAUGUAACUCCUCACCACUUUAUUUUCGUUGGAGAGCUAUUUGAAAUGGAAGCUAGGACAUGAGUUGUACUAAUCAUUGACUAUGUGACCAUUAGACAGUGAAAUCCGGUUAAUCGUUAACUCUGCCCCCAGUUCAUUAACCUUUGAUGAAAUGAAAGGUGUUUGUUUUAUGUUUUCAUAUUGUAUUUAUUUUUGCCGUUUUUGUGGAGAAUGUCAUGCUGUAAUUGACGGGCGUUUGCCUGAAGCCUCGAUUUCAUUUGCUGAAGACCAAAAAAAAUUUACCAGAAAAAUGAAAAUGGCUGAAAGUGUGUUAAUGCUGUUUUUAACUUGCUGUCAUCCGUCUCCCUGAAGCCUCCACGUAGUGUCCAUGAACCAUCUGAACAUGUUAGGAAGUCACUCAGUGUUCCACAGCGAUCGACUGCUUUUGGAAAAACUCAGAGACCUUUUUUUGAAAAACUAGUGCACCGACACUGGCUUUUUUUCCUGCGGGUCGAUGGUUUUUCCUCUGCAGACCUGUGACACUCUCUACCUCAGAUGUUGUACAUGUGUCCCUGUUCCCCCAUCAGAGCAGGGUGACUCGAGAAACGCAAAUACACUGCAAAGUGUUAGGAAAGCAUCCUAACUGUCGAAAGCUUUGCUCUGUACUGAAGCGCUCGCUGCUCACAACCAGAAAUGCCUUCUUUUUUUCUUUUUCUUUUAAGCAUGAGAAACUUCAACAGCGUUUACAUCUUUUAUCCCCCCCUAAAUGUAUAUUUUUAUUACGAUUAAAUCACAUCUGUUGCCUUAUAAUUCAAACCUUUUUUUUAAAUGACAUACAUGACUUUAGUUUAUUUUUAUUUUCUGUCAUAGUACUUCCUCAAUGUUUAUAGCAUUUUAUUGUGAAUUUGCAGUCAUUAUUUUGCCUCUCACGUCUAAUCAAAUAACUGGCUUUAUUCAGAAUGUCUGUAUGUGUAUGAUUUUUGUUUUUGCUGCCAGAAAUGCAUCUCUGCUUCUUUGAUCCUACUUAAGCAUAAUUUCUGUCUUGAUUUCUGUCUUAGUUUCAUGUAUUGCUUAGUUUUGAGUCAUGAAUUACCCAAAUGUUAUAAAAUAUGAUUUUUUUCUAUUUUUCCUAUCUGCUGCAGGAUUUGUGGUGAACUACAGAAUAUGCAAUGUAAUAUGAUGUAAACACAAUCAGAUUUCAGAAUGUACAAGACAGUAAAAAAAA
Sander lucioperca (pikeperch) is the source of this 2092-nucleotide long non-coding RNA. RefSeq lists it as uncharacterized. Lineage: Eukaryota; Metazoa; Chordata; Actinopteri; Perciformes; Percidae. The record is from RefSeq and is a predicted model, not a curated record. The transcript has 2 exons.